RNAcentral lists this ribosomal RNA (442 nucleotides) under uncultured bacterium. Its description in RNAcentral is "partial 16S ribosomal RNA". It matches the Rfam family "Bacterial small subunit ribosomal RNA", at positions 338 to 795 of the family's 1533-position model. The record is from RNAcentral.
CCUACGGGAGGCAGCAGUGGGGAAUAUUGGGCAAUGGGCGCAAGCCUGACCCAGCAACGCCGCGUGAAGGAAGAAGGCUUUCGGGUUGUAAACUUCUUUUAAGAGGGAAGAGCAGAAGACGGUACCUCUUGAAUAAGCCACGGCUAACUACGUGCCAGCAGCCGCGGUAAUACGUAGGUGGCAAGCGUUGUCCGGAUUUACUGGGUGUAAAGGGCGUGGAGACGGGAAGACAAGUCAGAUGUGAAAUCCCGGGGCUCAACCGCGGAACUGCAUUUGAAACUGUUUUGCUUGAGUACCGGAGAGGUAAUCGGAAUGCCUAGUGUAGCGGUGAAAUGCGUAGAUAUAAGGAAGAACACCAGUGGCGAAGGCGGAUGACUGGACGGAAACUGACGGUGAGGCGCGAAAGCGUGGGGAGCAAACAGGAUUAGAUACCCUUGUAGUC